CCUACGGGGGGCAGCAGUGGGGAAUCUUGCUCAAUGGGCGAAAGCCUGACGCAGCGACGCCGCGUGAGGGAUGAAGGUCUUCGGAUCGUAAACCUCUGUCAGCAGGGAAGAACGGUCACUGUGCUAAUCAGCAGUGCAUUGACGGUACCUGCACAGGAAGCACCGGCUAACUCCGUGCCAGCAGCCGCGGUAAUACGGAGGGUGCGAGCGUUAAUCGGAAUUACUGGGCGUAAAGCGCUCGUAGGCGGUAUGUCAAGUCAAGGGUGAAAUCCCCGCGCUCAACGUGGGAACUGCCUUUGAAACUGGCAAACUGGAGUGUAGAAGAGGAUAGUGGAAUUCCAGGUGUAGGAGUGAAAUGCGUAGAUAUCUGGAGGAACAUCAGUGGCGAAGGCGACUAUCUGGCACAUAACUGACGCUGAGGAUCGAAAGCGUGGGUAGCAAACAGGAUUAGAUACCCGGGUAGUC
RNAcentral lists this ribosomal RNA (465 nucleotides) under uncultured bacterium. Its description in RNAcentral is "partial 16S ribosomal RNA". It matches the Rfam family "Bacterial small subunit ribosomal RNA", at positions 338 to 795 of the family's 1533-position model. The record is from RNAcentral.